UUACGGGAGGCAGCAGUGGGGAAUAUUGCGCAAUGGCCGAAAGGCUGACGCAGCGACGCCGCGUGGGGGAUGAAGCAUUUCGGUGUGUAAACCCCUGUUGCCCGGGACGAACAACUGGUUUCGACCAGUCUGACGGUACCGGGUGAGGAAGCACCGGCUAACUCCGUGCCAGCAGCCGCGGUAAUACGGAGGGUGCGAGCGUUGUCCGGAAUCACUGGGCGUAAAGGGCGCGUAGGCGGUCUGCUAAGCGUGCGGUGAAAGCCUGGGGCUCAACCCCAGGUCUGCCGUGCGAACUGGUGGACUUGAGCACUGUAGAGGCAGGUGGAAUUCCGGGUGUAGCGGUGGAAUGCGUAGAGAUCCGGAAGAACACCGGUGGCGAAGGCGGCCUGCUGGGCAGUUGCUGACGCUGAUGCGCGACAGCGUGGGGAGCAAACAGGAUUAGAUACCCCGGU
RNAcentral lists this ribosomal RNA (452 nucleotides) under uncultured bacterium. RNAcentral describes it as "bacterial SSU rRNA". It matches the Rfam family "Bacterial small subunit ribosomal RNA", at positions 339 to 791 of the family's 1533-position model. The record is from RNAcentral.